GAGUUUGAUCAUGGCUCAGAUUGAACGCUGGCGGCAGGCCUAACACAUGCAAGUCGAACGGUAACAGGAAACAGCUUGCUGUUUCGCUGACGAGUGGCGGACGGGUGAGUAAUGUCUGGGAAACUGCCUGAUGGAGGGGGAUAACUACUGGAAACGGUAGCUAAUACCGCAUAACGUCGCAAGACCAAAGAGGGGGACCCUCGGGCCUCUUGCCAUCGGAUGUGCCCAGAUGGGAUUAGCUUGUUGGUGGGGUAACGGCUCACCUAGGCGACGAUCCCUAGCUGGUCUGAGAGGAUGACCAGCCACACUGGAACUGAGACACGGUCCAGACUCCUACGGGAGGCAGCAGUGGGGAAUAUUGCACAAUGGGCGCAAGCCUGAUGCAGCCAUGCCGCGUGUAUGAAGAAGGCCUUCGGGUUGUAAAGUACUUCAGCGGGGAGGAAGGGAGUAAAGUUAAUACCUUUGCUCAUUGACGUUACCCGCAGAAGAAGCACCGGCUAACUCCGUGCCAGCAGCCGCGGUAAUACGGAGGGUGCAAGCGUUAAUCGGAAUUACUGGGCGUAAAGCGCACGCAGGCGGUUUGUUAAGUCAGAUGUGAAAUCCCCGGGCUCAACCUGGGAACUGCAUCUGAUACUGGCAAGCUUGAGUCUCGUAGAGGGGGGUAGAAUUCCAGGUGUAGCGGUGAAAUGCGUAGAGAUCUGGAGGAAUACCGGUGGCGAAGGCGGCCCCCUGGACGAAGACUGACGCUCAGGUGCGAAAGCGUGGGGAGCAAACAGGAUUAGAUACCCUGGUAGUCCACGCCGUAAACGAUGUCGACUUGGAGGUUGUGCCCUUGAGGCGUGGCUUCCGGAGCUAACGCGUUAAGUCGACCGCCUGGGGAGUACGGCCGCAAGGUUAAAACUCAAAUGAAUUGACGGGGGCCCGCACAAGCGGUGGAGCAUGUGGUUUAAUUCGAUGCAACGCGAAGAACCUUACCUGGUCUUGACAUCCACGGAAGUUUUCAGAGAUGAGAAUGUGCCUUCGGGAACUGUGAGACAGGUGCUGCAUGGCUGUCGUCAGCUCGUGUUGUGAAAUGUUGGGUUAAGUCCCGCAACGAGCGCAACCCUUAUCCUUUGUUGCCAGCGGUCCGGCCGGGAACUCAAAGGAGACUGCCAGUGAUAAACUGGAGGAAGGUGGGGAUGACGUCAAGUCAUCAUGGCCCUUACGACCAGGGCUACACACGUGCUACAAUGGCGCAUACAAAGAGAAGCGACCUCGCGAGAGCAAGCGGACCUCAUAAAGUGCGUCGUAGUCCGGAUUGGAGUCUGCAACUCGACUCCAUGAAGUCGGAAUCGCUAGUAAUCGUGGAUCAGAAUGCCACGGUGAAUACGUUCCCGGGCCUUGUACACACCGCCCGUCACACCAUGGGAGUGGGUUGCAAAAGAAGUAGGUAGCUUAACCUUCGGGAGGGCGCUUACCACUUUGUGAUUCAUGACUGGGGUGAAGUCGUAACAAGGUAACCGUAGGGGAACCUGCGGUUGGAUCACC
This 1527-nucleotide ribosomal RNA is filed under the name Escherichia coli 201600.1. RNAcentral's name for it is "bacterial SSU rRNA". It matches the Rfam family "Bacterial small subunit ribosomal RNA". Lineage: Bacteria; Pseudomonadati; Pseudomonadota; Gammaproteobacteria; Enterobacterales; Enterobacteriaceae. The record is from RNAcentral.